GAUGAACGCUGGCGGUAUGCCUAACACAUGCAAGUCGAACGGAAUCUUCGGAUUUAGUGGCGGACGGGUGAGUAACGCGUGAGAAUCUGCCUUCAGGAUGGGGACAACAAUUGGAAACGAUUGCUAAUACCCGAUAUGCAGCGAUGUGAAAGAUUUAUCGCCUGGAGAUGAGCUCGCGUCUGAUUAGCUAGUUGGUGUGGUAAAGGCGCACCAAGGCGACGAUCAGUAGCUGGUCUGAGAGGAUGAGCAGCCACACUGGGACUGAGACACGGCCCAGACUCCUACGGGAGGCAGCAGUGGGGAAUUUUCCGCAAUGGGCGAAAGCCUGACGGAGCAAUACCGCGUGAGGGAGGAAGGCUCUUGGGUCGUAAACCUCUUUUCUCAGGGAAGAACAAAAUGACGGUACCUGAGGAAUAAGCAUCGGCUAACUCUGUGCCAGCAGCCGCGGUAAUACAGAGGAUGCAAGCGUUAUCCGGAAUGAUUGGGCGUAAAGCGUCCGUAGGUGGUUAUGUAAGUCUGUGGUUAAAGCGUGGAGCUCAACUCCAUAAGGGCCAUGGAAACUACAAGACUAGAGUCAAGUAGGGGUAGAGGGAAUUCCCAGUGUAGCGGUGAGAUGCGUAGAGAUUGGGAAGAACACCGGUGGCGAAAGCGCUCUACUGGACUUGUACUGACACUGAGGGACGAAAGCUAGGGGAGCGAAAGGGAUUAGAUACCCCUGUAGUCCUAGCCGUAAACGAUGGAUACUAGGUGUUGCCCG
Molecule: ribosomal RNA, 757 nt
Filed under: uncultured cyanobacterium
Lineage: Bacteria; Bacillati; Cyanobacteriota
Description: bacterial SSU rRNA
Rfam family: Bacterial small subunit ribosomal RNA
Source: RNAcentral